Coregonus clupeaformis (lake whitefish) is the source of this 575-nucleotide long non-coding RNA. RefSeq lists it as uncharacterized. Lineage: Eukaryota; Metazoa; Chordata; Actinopteri; Salmoniformes; Salmonidae. The record is from RefSeq and is a predicted model, not a curated record. The transcript is spliced from 4 exons.
UGUGUAGGAGAACACAGUGUCUAUUGGUUCAGACAUGGCUCAGGAGAAUCCCAUCCAGGAAUCUUUUACACCGAUGGAGACAGGCGUGAUCAGUGUGAGAAAAGCCCUGAGGCUGGGUCUCCUACACAGAGCUGUGUCUACAACCUCCCCAAGAGGAACGUCAGCCUCUCUGAUGCUGGGACUUAUUACUGUGCUGUGGCCUCAUGUUGGGAGAUACUAUUUGGGAACGGGACCAAGCUGGACAUUCAAGUUUCAGAGCAUGAUUUUCCAUUUGAUCUGAGUCCUACUGUUCUGGCCUUGGUCGUCUCCAACAUCGUUCUGGGGAUAGUGACCCUUCUACUUGUCUGGGCGCUGUGCAAGACUCGGAACAGAGAUAGCAGAGGGAGGACAGAUGUCCCAACAUCCCAGGGCAAUCAGAAUCAAGACAGUGAUGUGUUGAACUAUGCAGCUGUGAGUUUCACCCCCAAGAAGAACUCCUCCUCCUCUAGAAGAGCAAGAGAGAAGACCAGCAGAGAGGAUGCAGUGUACUCUGAGGUCAGAUACCUGCAGCAGCAGUAAAAGAUAUCACCACUGUC